This 460-nucleotide ribosomal RNA is filed under the name uncultured bacterium. RNAcentral's name for it is "partial 16S ribosomal RNA". It matches the Rfam family "Bacterial small subunit ribosomal RNA", at positions 338 to 795 of the family's 1533-position model. The record is from RNAcentral.
CCUACGAGUGGCAGCAGUGAGGAAUAUUGGUCAAUGGGCGGAAGCCUGAACCAGCCAAGUCGCGUGAGGGAAUAAGGCCCUACGGGUCGUAAACCUCUUUUGCCGGGGAGCAAGGGCGGGGACGUGUCCCGGCCCGGAGAGUACCCGGAGAAAAAGCAUCGGCUAACUCCGUGCCAGCAGCCGCGGUAAUACGGAGGAUGCGAUCGUUAUCCGGAUUGAUUGGGUUUAAAGGGUGCGUAGGCGGGCUUUUAAGUCAGCGGUAAAAAGUCGGGGCUCAACCCCGUCCGGCCGUUGAAACUGGGGGCCUUGAGUGGGCGAGAAGAAGGCGGAAUGCGUGGUGUAGCGGGGAGAUGCAUAGAUAUCACGCAGAACCCCGAUUGCGAAGGCAGCCUUCCGGCGCCCUACUGACGCUGAGGCACGAAAGUGCGGGGAUCGAACAGGAUUAGAUACCCGUGUAGUC